RNAcentral lists this transfer RNA (72 nucleotides) under Symploca sp. SIO2D2. RNAcentral describes it as "tRNA-Lys". It matches the Rfam family "tRNA". Rfam says of the family: Transfer RNA (tRNA) molecules are approximately 80 nucleotides in length. Their secondary structure includes four short double-helical elements and three loops (D, anti-codon, and T loops). The record is from RNAcentral. Lineage: Bacteria; Bacillati; Cyanobacteriota; Cyanophyceae; Coleofasciculales; Coleofasciculaceae.
GGGUCGUUGGCAGAGCGGAUAUGCGGCUGCCUCUUAAGCAUACUUAUCCAGGUUCAGCCCCUGGGCGACCCA